AGUCUGAAAAGACCUUCAGAACUUGGAGGUUUGUAAAUAAGUGUGGGCAGCAGGAGAGGGCCCUUGAUUCCCCACAUGAAAGGAAAAGAAGCGCAGGGAAGAGGCAUGACCUUUGUCUUCUGCGGACAAUAACUCAGCACUGAAUUACAGUCCUAUCUCAUGUGCUUCAUGUAAAUAAAGAAUAAUGCAUACGAAUCAAGAUACUCUGGCCCAAAUGCUUUUCUGCCUGCUUUCAUAAGACGCAGUGUGCUCAGCUGGAGUCUGAGUAAUGCUGCAUAAUUGAUGGCUAUUCAUGUCCCGAAGCAUCACAGCCUGGUAAGAAACACCACUCAUAGCAGCUGGGAAGAAAGAGAUUCUGGCUAAAUAGAUGGGACCAGAACCAGAAGGCAGGCUCUAAAACUGAUUAUUUCUAAUGAAGAGUAAUGAGCCCUAUCCUUUGGCCUGCACAGAGCAAAGCCCUGAGCAAACCUUUGGAAUGAAGACCAGUGCCAUGCCAGAAGGCAAUAUGAAAAUGGAUGACCAAAGUUAGAACAGAGGAGGAGAAAGCGACACCAGCAAAUACCUUCUGUGAAAACGGCAGAAAGAUUAUUGAAGAAUAAAGGAAGUUAAAUGAUUGCCAGAGGCAGCAAUUAAUGCAAACAAAAGAAUUAUUUUUAAGAACAUAAUGUCAGAAGGAAGUAGACUUCGUAGGUGUCAGUGUGAUGCAGUUUCAUGGAUUUCCUGCCUUCUUUUAAAUAAACGUCACAUAUAAAAGAUAAGACAUGGACACUUUGGAAGGUUCUUUCCAAGAGAGGGCCUAUGUUGCUGCCACUACCAUCCAGUGAAAGGCUGAGCUGUGACUCCUACACAUCACUUUCCUCCUCCUAGUCAUUCUCAGCAAGAUGAACCUCUGGUGAAGUAUGCUGAAGUUUACCUGAAGAAGACUUGAGCUGAAUUUUUCUACCUGACCCUACUGUCCUAAUAAGGGCUUCUCCAGAGUCCUGUAAUAUCCUGGGAAUUUUGUU
This is a non-coding RNA of Coturnix japonica (Japanese quail), 1004 nucleotides long. The record is from RefSeq and is a predicted model, not a curated record. NCBI's taxonomy places the organism in Eukaryota, Metazoa, Chordata, Aves, Galliformes, Phasianidae.